This 512-nucleotide ribosomal RNA is filed under the name uncultured bacterium. RNAcentral's name for it is "bacterial SSU rRNA". It matches the Rfam family "Bacterial small subunit ribosomal RNA", at positions 33 to 518 of the family's 1533-position model. The record is from RNAcentral.
ACGCUGGCGGCGUGCCUAAUACAUGCAAGUCGAACGGUCUUUCUAUGGAAGCUUGCUCCACUGAGAAGAUAGUGGCGAACGGGUGAGUAACACGUGGGUAACCUGCCCAUAAGAGGGGGGAUAACAUCCGGAAACGGGUGCUAAUACCGCAUAGUUUUCUUGAUCGCAUGAUCGGGAAAGGAAAGACGGCCUUUGUGCUGUCGCUUAUGGAUGGACCCGCGGCGUAUUAGUUAGUUGGUGAGGUAACGGCUCACCAAGACGAUGAUACGUAGCCGACCUGAGAGGGUGAUCGGCCACAUUGGGACUGAGACACGGCCCAAACUCCUACGGGAGGCAGCAGUAGGGAAUCUUCCGCAAUGGACGAAAGUCUGACGGAGCAACGCCGCGUGAGUGAAAGAAGGUUUUCGGAUCGUAAAACUCUGUUGUCAGAGAAGAACAAGUUGGAGAGUAACUGCUCCAGCCUUGACGGUAUCUGACCAGAAAGCCACGGCUAACUACGUGCCAGCCGCGGC